AAGUAGGGAGGCGAGGUUGUCUGGGAAGGACCCUGGCGGCGAGACCAAGCCGGUGAUGACUGGUGGCAUGAUUAAGUGGGCGACGCAAGUCAGAGUGCUGGUGAUAAAGCGGAGGAGGAUGGGGAUGACGUCAAGUCAUCAUGGCCCUUACGACCAGGGCAACACACGUGCUACAAUGGGAUAUACAGAGGGAAGCGAGCAGGUGACUGUAAGCGAAUCUCAGAAAGUAUUUCGUAGUCCGGAUUGAAGUCUGCAACUCGACUUCAUGAAGUUGGAAUCGCUAGUAAUCGCAAAUCAGAAUGUUGCGGUGAAUACGUUCCCGGGCCUUGUACACACCGCCCGUCACACCAUGGGAGUGGAUUGCACCAGAAGUAGCCAGCUUAACGAAAGAGGGCGGUUACCACGGUGUGGUUUAUGACUGGGGUG
Molecule: ribosomal RNA, 426 nt
Filed under: uncultured rumen bacterium
Lineage: Bacteria
Description: bacterial SSU rRNA
Rfam family: Bacterial small subunit ribosomal RNA
Source: RNAcentral